AACAACAACCUUAUCACGGCUUCUCAGUAGAUUUAGCAUAUAAUUGUAGAGUUAACUAAUUUUUCUAAGAUCUUAAAGUACUUGAAAAUAUGCCCUUGGGAACAAUCUUGCCAUAGCAGGGAAUGCAGAAGAUGAAUGAACAGGUUCCUGCUGUCUCUUUGAUUUCCACAGUCCCUUUUUUAAUGGCCUCUCUCCCCAUGAGAUUGCCCAAAAUUCUGAAAUAUUAGUCACUCGGUUUUGUUUACUGAUAUUCUUCUCCUACAGUUGCAAAAAAUAAGAGUUAAAAAUUGCUUAGGUUAUACUGUGUGUGUGUGUGUGUGUGUGUGUGUGUGUGUGUGUGUGUGAAUACAGGAAGAGGGUUGUAGGGAGGCCAGGAUGUAAACAUAGUCAACAUUCUUGUGUGCCUCUUAGAGCAUGGGUUGAUGUAAAAAUCCAGGUUGAUUGUGGUUGGAGUGUUGGAUUGGACCAGGAAAUCUAGAUUCAAAACCUUAUUGGCCAUUAAGCUCACUUCACUGAGUGGCCUUGGCUCAGUCACAUCCCAUGGCUUAACACGUCCCUGUCAUGAUUGGGUUCUACACCUGUAGCAUCUUCCCCACUUGUGAAGUCCCAACCUUGUGCCCUCUCAUCAGCCGCAGCCAGCAUGCGUAGCUGGCAUGGUCUAGGUUGGAGAAGGCCGCACAGCAAAAUUAGCUGUCAGCCAUAGGUGAUGAAGCAGACAGCCCUAAUAUCCAGGGCUUUAGAUGCCUCCUGUCAUUCAUUUGCUACGUACCCAGUUCUUAUGCAGUUCACUUUGGUAACAUAUGUUUGUCAAACCAGGCAGAGGAAACGGUUUGAAAACUGUCCAAAAAUAUAUCACAGUUAGGGGUGGGGGAGACUGAGCUGCGGCAAACAUGAAACAAUUCUCCCGUCUAGCAGACUUCUUUCGUGUGUUGUGCUUGCCUUCAAACCAUGGGGAAAGCAUUUGUAUUCUGUGCAAAUAAAACAAAAGUGUGAUUUUAUCGCUAAAGAUUUAGUUGUUAUUCUGGAAAUAUUCAUUGUUUUAUUUAAAACAGGACUUUCCUUUCUUUACAACUAUAUAAUAAACUAAUUGCUUCAUUUCAGCUCUGAUUUAAACAAGUUUUAUUCAAUGCAGGCAGUACACUUAAAGCUAAUUUAUUGCAUCUAGAUUAAAAAAAACCCCUGUCAUUUAGUUUUAUGGCACUUCCUAAAAGAAAACAAAUUUUAAGUUGUUUUGGUUGUUUAGAUCCUUUGAGGAAUAAAGAGGGCUACAGUUCAGACAAGUCCAUUUCCUUCUGUAAUGGGAAAUAUUCCAAGCAUUUCUCUUCAAACAAAACCCAAAAGAUUAUCUUUACAGACUUCUGUUUAGGAGAUUUUUGGACAACACCCUAGAACAGGAAGCCACAGUUUUUCCCAAAUUUAUACAGGAUGGAAAUAGAUAAUAUUUCCAUUAUGAAAACACCCAGCUGCGACUAAUGAUUUCAGAUUUUAUAAUGGAAGUUUUUGGCACACACUCUUUGGCUGUACCUGAAAGUUUAAUUUUAGUCAACAAUUCAACAUAACGGGUGGAAUCCAAUUUGUAAUUCUAAGCACUGUGCCUCCAAAGAUUAGUCAAGAAUUUAACAGUGGGUGAAAUCUAGCUGGUUAGAGGAGGCAGGGAGAUGACUUUCUGCUGAUUUCCGUUUCCACCCUGCAACUCCCCAUGCAUUUGGAGAAGUGCGAAUUUCAAAGUUUCCGGACACAUAUUGUUGCAGAAAGUGUGAAUUAGGUUUGCCUUGUAAUGUGGACAGAAUCAAAUUCUCAACGCCCCCCCCCCCCGUUCCUAUGCAAAGCAGAAGGGUAGUGGUUGCUUAAUCCUUCCCCAAUAUGUCAUUAGAUUUGCAUAGCUUUGCCUAAUACAGUUGCCACAUAGAUUAGUCAAUUAUGUCAGCCAGUUUGGGGAAACCUGAAUCCCACGUGGGGCAGCCAUUCACUAAAGUCCAAGCGAGGAGGCAGAGGAGAAUUUUGACAAAGAAAUGUUGCCUCUGUGUUAGUUCCUGCUUCUGCCUAUGGAAUUAGUUGGUCUAACGUAUAUAUAAAGUUUUUUUCUGAGCAGAAAUGGUUGGGGGGGGGGGCAGCAAGCAAGUAAAAUCCACUGACAUUAAUGGAACUUAACCUUUUAACACCUAACAUUUUCUCCAUGUGCGUCUUCAAAUGGCAUUCUAGGAAAGUAAACGAUCUUGUUUAAUAUCUGAGGCCUUCUGUGAAUGUGAAACAGUUAGACUAAAAAUGUCCUUAUUGUUAUAAUAAAUAUCUGGUUUACGCUGAUAAGAAUUGAGAGGGUUCAUGUAGUGCCAGGCGAAAAAGCCAAAAGAAUCAGUUUAAUUGAAUCUUCUUACUUGGAAUGUCACAGUUCUACAGAAUAGAGGUCUGGGGAAUUGGGGCAAAACGCUGCCUUGGCACCUUCUUAUUGGCUGCGUGGUUCAGUUGUAUUAUUGCUUCUUGUCCCACUGAAACCAAUUGUAGGCAAGUUGUUUUUUUAUAGCAGACAAAAUGUGUCUUUUGUGCUAACCUUGACUGUAUAAAUAUAUGGUUCAGGUUAUAUAUCACUGAAUUUAUUGGGUCAAAUGAGGAGAAAUACAUAUAAAAAAGUUUGAAGCAGUGGGAGAUUUAUUUCUUAAUGCCUCUGUUUUCUUGUUUUAUUACGUUCUCAGAACUUGCAUGCUUUGCAUGGAUGUGCCACUAAUUUUAUCUCUGACCUUGCGUGGUGCUUGGGAACACAAUUUAAAAACAAAACCAAACGUUCUAAAAAUAGUGCCAUUCCAUUUUUCACCAGACGCUCUUUUAAAUGGUGUUAGUCUGAGAGUGAUGUCUACAAUCAUGGGAACCACAAGCACUGGGGUCAUCGCAACUGUUAUAGUACAGGGGCCUUCGCCCUAAAACCAUUCUCCCUUUUACCCACAAUAUCUGCCUCUGAACCCAUAAGUUGAGCAUCUUGUUUUUAGUUUGUCUGGUUUGCUUCCUUGCCACGUCUGGAACUAUUGGAUCUGUUCUCUGAUUACAUGGCAUUUGCGUUAUCUGGAUUAUGUGGGCUGAUUUGUGAGACAUUGGUGGAUGUAUGGGCUUCCCAUUUCAUUAUGUAUUCUUUAUUUUUAUAUCCCUACUUUCCUCCAAGGAGCCCAAGAUGGCGUACAUAGUUCUCCCUUCCCUGUUUUAUUUUCCCAGCUGAUGUGCUUAGGUUGAGAGACAGUGAGUGCUUCAAGGUCACCCAGUGAACUGCAAGGGUGACUGGGGAUUUGAACUCUUAAGUAUCCUAGGUAGCAGCCAAACACUCUAACCAUUGUGCCACACUGCUUCUCAGUGGCAUGGGCUAGGAUAUGUUGACCCCUUCCUUUUCUGUGGUUCCAUGACUUUUCUGCUAUCCCAUUUUAGACUUUUUUUGCCAUCUACAGGAUAGCUUUGUUCGCUGUAGCCACUGAGAAAAUUAGAAAUAUGCUGAUUUGACUUAUGUCCUAUGACUCGGGGAUAAUUUGAUAUAAAUUUACAUUGAGCUUCCUCUUCUAAACCAAUGCUCCUCCCCCUCCCAUAAUAAUAGCAAUAUUUAUAGUUACUUUAUUUUGAUCUAAAUUUUUUUAAAAAUGAUAUUUAUUACUUUUUCAACAUUUCCAACACAACACU
This is a non-coding RNA of Podarcis lilfordi (Lilford's wall lizard), 3654 nucleotides long. Lineage: Eukaryota; Metazoa; Chordata; Lepidosauria; Squamata; Lacertidae. The record is from the annotation of a GenBank genome assembly.